CUGACGAGCACGCCGCGUGAGUGAGAGGUUUUCGGAUCGUAAAGCUCUGUUGUAAGAGAAGAACGAGUGUGAGAGUGGAAAGUUCACACUGUGACGGUAACUUACCAGAAAGGGACGGCUAACUACGUGCCAGCAGCCGCGGUAAUACGUAGGUCCCGAGCGUUAUCCGGAUUUAUUGGGCGUAAAGCGAGCGCAGGCGGUUAGAUAAGUCUGAAGUUAAAGGCUGUGGCUUAACCAUAGUACGCUUUGGAAACUGUUUAACUUGAGUGCAGAAGGGGAGAGUGGAAUUCCAUGUGUAGCGGUGAAAUGCGUAGAUAUAUGGAGGAACACCGGUGGCGAAAGCGGCUCUCUGGUCUGUAACUGACGCUGAGGCUCGAAAGCGUGGGGAGCAAACA
This 395-nucleotide ribosomal RNA is filed under the name Streptococcus parasanguinis. RNAcentral's name for it is "bacterial SSU rRNA". It matches the Rfam family "Bacterial small subunit ribosomal RNA", at positions 383 to 774 of the family's 1533-position model. Lineage: Bacteria; Bacillati; Bacillota; Bacilli; Lactobacillales; Streptococcaceae. The record is from RNAcentral.